RNAcentral lists this ribosomal RNA (253 nucleotides) under uncultured bacterium. RNAcentral's name for it is "partial 16S ribosomal RNA". It matches the Rfam family "Bacterial small subunit ribosomal RNA", at positions 524 to 776 of the family's 1533-position model. The record is from RNAcentral.
UACGUAGGUGACAAGCGUUGUCCGGAUUUACUGGGCGUAAAGAGCGCGCAGGCGGUCGAUCAAGUCGCGUGUGAAAGCCCCCGGCUCAACUGGGGAGAGUCACGCGAUACUGAUCGACUCGAAGGCAGGAGAGGGUAGUGGAAUUCCCGGUGUAGUGGUGAAAUGCGUAGAUAUCGGGAGGAACACCAGUGGCGAAGGCGACUACCUGGCCUGUUCUUGACGCUGAGGCGCGAAAGCUAGGGGAGCAAACGGG